UUUGUACCGAUUAUAGGCAACUGAUUUAGAGAGUUUUCAGUGCCUAUUUCAGUACAAUA
This 59-nucleotide microRNA precursor is filed under the name Caenorhabditis brenneri. Its description in RNAcentral is "microRNA cbn-mir-239d precursor (cbn-mir-239d-2)". Its record names the gene cbn-mir-239d-2. The record is from miRBase by way of RNAcentral. Lineage: Eukaryota; Metazoa; Nematoda; Chromadorea; Rhabditida; Rhabditidae.